CAGCAGCCGCGGGAAAACGAAGGGUGCAAGCGUUAAUCGGAAUUACUGGGCGUAAAGCGCGCGUAGGUGGUUUGGUAAGAUGGAUGUGAAAUCCCCGGGCUCAACCUGGGAACUGCAUCCAUAACUGCCUGACUAGAGUACGGUAGAGGGUGGUGGAAUUUCCUGUGUAGCGGUGAAAUGCGUAGAUAUAGGAAGGAACACCAGUGGCGAAGGCGACCACCUGGACUGAUACUGACACUGAGGUGCGAAAGCGUGGGGAGCAAACAGGAUUAGAUACCCCUGUAGUCCCUGUCUCUUAUAA
RNAcentral lists this ribosomal RNA (301 nucleotides) under uncultured bacterium. Its description in RNAcentral is "partial 16S ribosomal RNA". It matches the Rfam family "Bacterial small subunit ribosomal RNA", at positions 509 to 809 of the family's 1533-position model. The record is from RNAcentral.